GACGAACGCUGGCGGCGUGCUUAACACAUGCAAGUCGAACGAUGAAGCAAAGAAUCGAAGCUUCGGCAGAAAUUCAUUUCGGAUUAGUGGCAGACGGGUGAGUAACGCGUGAGCAACCUACCUCUUACAAAGGGAUAGCCUCGGGAAACCGGGAUUAAUACCAUAUAACAUUGCGACGAAGCAUUUCGAUGCAAUCAAAGCUACGGCGGUAAGAGAUGGGCUCGCGUCCCAUUAACCGGAUGGUGAGGUAACGGCUCACCAUAGUGACGAUGGGUAACCGGACUGAGAGGGUGAACGGUGAGACUGGAACUGAGACACGGUCCCGACUCCUACGGGAGGCAGCAGUGGGGAAUAUUGCACAAGGGAGCGAACUCUGAUGCAGCGACGCCGCGUGAGUGAUGAAGGAAUUCGUUACGUAAUACUCUGUUCUAUGGGAAGAAAGGGACGGUACCAUAAGAGAAAGCUCCGGCUAACUACGUG
RNAcentral lists this ribosomal RNA (480 nucleotides) under uncultured bacterium. RNAcentral describes it as "partial 16S ribosomal RNA". It matches the Rfam family "Bacterial small subunit ribosomal RNA", at positions 28 to 507 of the family's 1533-position model. The record is from RNAcentral.